GCCGAAUGCCUCCUUCGCUCGUACGGCGUCUCCCCCAACUGGGAAUUUAAUAAUCCUUCCUGAAAGUUUGGAGAUUUGCAACGAAACUGCACAAGACACAUCAAUGCCAAAAGGGAGGCUAUUGAAGUGAAGAAGAAGUACUUCAAUUUGAAACAAAGAGCUAAAAGCAAGAUCGACGGCCUCAAAAGGUCAAUGGCCACAACUUGAGAAGGGCCUCCACUCCCAGCACUGUCCAACGCGGACGAGGUCCUUUGUCAGUCUUUGGAGGGGAGGCCAGGUAUUCAUGGCCUAGAACAUGGCAUUGACACUGAUGUCAUUCAUGAUGGCGAUGUAGCUGCCGCUGCACCAGAAGGUCUGCAAGGUGAAGCACAUCACAUUGAUGAGCAAGACAACCCAGCAGAAGGUACAUCAGAAGGAUCUGAGUAAUACCUGUAGA
RNAcentral lists this long non-coding RNA (436 nucleotides) under Haliotis rufescens (red abalone). RNAcentral describes it as "uncharacterized LOC124124879, transcript variant X3". Lineage: Eukaryota; Metazoa; Mollusca; Gastropoda; Lepetellida; Haliotidae. The record is from RNAcentral.